This is a long non-coding RNA of Etheostoma spectabile (orangethroat darter), 338 nucleotides long. RefSeq lists it as uncharacterized. The record is from RefSeq and is a predicted model, not a curated record. The transcript has 2 exons. Lineage: Eukaryota; Metazoa; Chordata; Actinopteri; Perciformes; Percidae.
UGGCAUGUCACUGUGGCCAAAGUCCCGAUCCAUUCCAGCCAUCCCUGAACGGUACAUAUCUCAACACAGAAAAACAUUUGACCUUAGACUUAAGUUAUCAAUAACACACAAUGUGCAUCUCAUUGUUUACAUAGUAAUAAUAUCCUAGAGCUGAACCUUUUCUCUGCCCAGUAAGAGUGAAUACGCUCACUUACCUCCCAUCCUGCCACCUGGCGCCAUGUCUCUCCCUCUAAAGCCACCCAUGCUGCCCAUGUUAUCCAUGCCCCCAAAGCCACCUCCACCACUCAUUCCUGUCAAAAGCAGCACCAAGUUUGAACAUCGUUCUUUCCUUCUUCCAC